CAUACUCGGGGAUAGCCUCUCGAAAGAAAGAUUAAUAUCCGAUAGCAUAUAUUUCCCGCAUGGGUUUUAUAUUAAAGAAAUUCGGUAUGAGAUGGGGAUGCGUUCCAUUAGUUUGUUGGGGGGGUAACGGCCCACCAAGACUACGAUGGAUAGGGGUUCUGAGAGGAAGGUCCCCCACAUUGGAACUGAGACACGGUCCAA
Molecule: ribosomal RNA, 201 nt
Filed under: uncultured bacterium
Lineage: Bacteria
Description: partial 16S ribosomal RNA
Rfam family: Bacterial small subunit ribosomal RNA
Source: RNAcentral